Molecule: ribosomal RNA, 253 nt
Filed under: uncultured bacterium
Lineage: Bacteria
Description: partial 16S ribosomal RNA
Rfam family: Bacterial small subunit ribosomal RNA
Source: RNAcentral
UACGGAGGGGGCUAGCGUUGUUCGGAAUUACUGGGCGUAAAGCGCACGUAGGCGGCUUGGUAAGUUAGAGGUGAAAGCCCAGGGCUUAACCCUGGAAUUGCCUUUAAGACUGCAUCGCUAGAAUCGUGGAGAGGUGAGUGGAAUUCCGAGUGUAGAGGUGAAAUUCGUAGAUAUUCGGAAGAACACCAGUGGCGAAGGCGACUCACUGGACACGUAUUGACGCUGAGGUGCGAAAGCGUGGGGAGCAAACAGG